AACGGUCUAUACCUGCGGUACCUGCGGAAGGAUCAUUACAGAGUGUUCUACCCCCUUGUAAAAUGGUGGGUUUAACCUCCCGUCCUUUGCCAGACCCCCCCUUUCGUUGGGGGGCCUUUCAAACCUUUCUGCUUCGGCGGGGUUACCCGUCGGAGCACCCUCAAAAAUUCUUGGUCAAAACUGUUCGGUCCGAGAAACUUAUGAAAAUUGAAGCAAAACUUUUAACAACGGAUCUCUAGA
This 240-nucleotide unclassified non-coding RNA is filed under the name soil metagenome. RNAcentral describes it as "partial contains 5.8S ribosomal RNA, internal transcribed spacer 2, and large subunit ribosomal RNA". The record is from RNAcentral.